AGCAGCCGCGGUAAUUCCAGCUCCAAUAGCGUAUAUUAAAGUUGCUGCAGUUAAAAAGCUCGUAGUUGAAUUUCGGGACCGAUAUAUCGGUCGUGCCUCGGUACGUACUGGUAUUUUCGGUUUCUCCCUUCUGAUGAACCUUGAUGUCAUUAAUUUGGUGUCUUGGGGAAUCAGGACUGUUACUUUGAAAAAAUUAGAGUGUUUAAAGCAGGCUCACGCUUGAAUACAUUAGCAUGGAAUAAUGAAAUAGGACGUUUGAUUCUAUUUUGUUGGUUUCUAGGAUCGACGUAAUGAUUAAUAGGGAUAGUUGGGGGCAUUAGUAUUCAAUUGUCAGAGGUGAAAUUCUUGGAUUUAUUGAAGACUAACUACUGCGAAAGCAUUUGCCAAGGAUGUUUUCAUUAAUCAAGAACGAAGGUUAGGGGAUCGAAGACGAUCAGAUACCGUCGUAGUCUUAACCAUAAACUAUGCCGACUAGGGAUCGGAUGAUGUUAAUUUUUAUAAUGACCCAUUCGGCGCCUUA
RNAcentral lists this ribosomal RNA (520 nucleotides) under uncultured Glomus. RNAcentral's name for it is "SSU rRNA". It matches the Rfam family "Eukaryotic small subunit ribosomal RNA", at positions 569 to 1090 of the family's 1831-position model. Lineage: Eukaryota; Fungi; Glomeromycota; Glomeromycetes; Glomerales; Glomeraceae. The record is from RNAcentral.